RNAcentral lists this ribosomal RNA (683 nucleotides) under Pseudomonas sp. Its description in RNAcentral is "bacterial SSU rRNA". It matches the Rfam family "Bacterial small subunit ribosomal RNA", at positions 90 to 769 of the family's 1533-position model. Lineage: Bacteria; Pseudomonadati; Pseudomonadota; Gammaproteobacteria; Pseudomonadales; Pseudomonadaceae. The record is from RNAcentral.
AUUCAGCGGCGGACGGGUGAGUAAUGCCUAGGAAUCUGCCUGGUAGUGGGGGACAACGUUUCGAAAGGAACGCUAAUACCGCAUACGUCCUACGGGAGAAAGCAGGGGACCUUCGGGCCUUGCGCUAUCAGAUGAGCCUAGGUCGGAUUAGCUAGUUGGUGAGGUAAUGGCUCACCAAGGCGACGAUCCGUAACUGGUCUGAGAGGAUGAUCAGUCACACUGGAACUGAGACACGGUCCAGACUCCUACGGGAGGCAGCAGUGGGGAAUAUUGGACAAUGGGCGAAAGCCUGAUCCAGCCAUGCCGCGUGUGUGAAGAAGGUCUUCGGAUUGUAAAGCACUUUAAGUUGGGAGGAAGGGCUGUAACCUAAUACGCUAGAGUUUUGACGUUACCGACAGAAUAAGCACCGGCUAACUCUGUGCCAGCAGCCGCGGUAAUACACAGGGUGCAAGCGUUAAUCGGAAUUACUGGGCGUAAAUUGCGCGUAUGUGGUUCGUCAAGUUGGAUCCGAAAUCCCCCGGCUCAUCCUGGGAAUGUUCUCCAUAAAUUUCGUUCUAUAGUAACGAAAAGGGUGGUGGAAUUUCCUGUGCAGCGUUGAAUUGCGUAGAUAUAGGAAGGUUCACCUAUGGAUUAGGCGACCACCUGAACUUUGACUUACGCUGUGGUGCAUGACCAUUGCGGAC